This 1272-nucleotide long non-coding RNA is filed under the name Equus caballus (horse). RNAcentral's name for it is "lncRNA (ENSECAG00000046514.1)". Lineage: Eukaryota; Metazoa; Chordata; Mammalia; Perissodactyla; Equidae. The record is from RNAcentral.
CUAGAAUUCAGUGAACACAGUCCUGGAUACAGCAAAAUUUCAUUCUGGUGUUGUAAACUGUGCACUGCCGAGCAUCGUAGCUAAGAGUUUUGAUAUGUGUGGCACCUGUAUAUAUCACUGGAAAAGUUCGGAGGGCAAGAGAGGUAACUGAGGCUUGGAGAGGAAAGCUGUCACUUGCCCAUGUUCACUCCGAAUGCAUGACUGCGUGGGCUGGGGGAUGAGACCUUCUGAUGUCCAGUCUCGGCCACCAGAGGCAGGACCGUGAGAGGCCACAGCUUUGUCCACUCCUGUUAGCACAGACUUCUGGAGCCUGUUAUCCAGUUUGAAUUCUCGGCUUCACCACUUACUAACGAAAAGUGCCCAGUACCCGUAGGCGUUCAGCAGCUCACAGCUGUUGUGACUGUCUGAGUUGCCUUGCGAACGUCCAAGCGGCAACAAGACAGCCAGCAGCCGAAUCCAGUGCUCCUCCACUGCAGGCCAGCUUCUUCCCCAGGGACAUUUGGCAACGUCUGAAGACAUUUUUGGUCGCCACAAGUAGAAGGCAUCGAAUGGGUAGAGGCCAGAGAUGUUGUUAAACAUCCUCAGUGCACAGGACAGCUCCCCACACGCGGAGUUACGUGGCCCCGCAUGUCGAGAGUGCCGAGGUUGAGAGACUCUGCCCUACGCUGAACACCAGUGAGGCAGACUCUUUUGCCAGAUAUGAUGAGGCGCUAGGCUGACCCUGGAAGCCGCCACCCUGAUGGAGGCAGGCCAGACAAUAAGAAGUAAAUAAACAAGAAACUAUUAGACGACAGUCUAUGCUGUGAUAAAAACGAAACAGGGUGGCAGAUAGAGAGGGGUGGGGUCAGGCUGCUUUAGACUGGAUGAGCAGAAAGUCUUCUUAGAGGAGAUGGCAUUAAACUGGAACCGAAUAAUGAGAAGUGACCAGCCAUUGAAGAGCUGAGCAAAGAGCAGAGUUGAUGAAGGGGCAGUUCCUGCAAAUGCCCAGAGGGGGACGACCUUGCUGUGACUGAGGCACAGAGAGCAGGGCAGGUAGAGAGUGGUGGUAAGGAUGGAGACAGGGAGUCAAAUAAAGCUCGAGGCCCGCCCCACAGAAGGGCUCCCUCUGGACGCUGCUGCUUCGUAGUGCCCUCCAAGGAAAAAAACACUGCCUCAGAGGACUUGACGGGAACUAAAACAUGUGAUUUCAUGGGUGGUAGAAAUUUUAAGUUGGUUUUAAAGUUGUUGUUUCUUUUUUCCUUUAGGAAGCAAUGAUAAGUCUCUUUCCUAGCA